Non-coding RNA from Scenedesmus sp. NREL 46B-D3, 73 nucleotides. The record is from the annotation of a GenBank genome assembly. Lineage: Eukaryota; Viridiplantae; Chlorophyta; Chlorophyceae; Sphaeropleales; Scenedesmaceae.
GGUUCCGUGGUGUAGUGGAUAUCACAUCGCUCUCCGGAAGCGAAGGUCAUGGGUUCGAUCCCCAUCGGAAUCG